Molecule: ribosomal RNA, 262 nt
Filed under: uncultured bacterium
Lineage: Bacteria
Description: partial 16S ribosomal RNA
Rfam family: Bacterial small subunit ribosomal RNA
Source: RNAcentral
GUCCACGCUGUAAACGAUGUCAACUAGCCGUUGGGGACCUUCGUGUCCUUGGUGGCGUAGCUAACGCGCUAAGUUGACCGCCUGGGGAGUACGGUCGCAAGAUUAAAACUCAAAUGAAUUGACGGGGCCCGCACAAGCGGUGGAGCAUGUGGUUUAAUUCGACGCAACGCGAAGAACCUUACCAGGUCUUGACAUCCAGAGAAGUCGCUAGAGAUAGCUUCGUGCCUUGGGAACUCUGAGACAGGUGCUGCAUGGCUGUCGU